Molecule: ribosomal RNA, 483 nt
Filed under: uncultured bacterium
Lineage: Bacteria
Description: partial 16S ribosomal RNA
Rfam family: Bacterial small subunit ribosomal RNA
Source: RNAcentral
AUUGAACGCUGGCGGCAGGCCUAACACAUGCAAGUCGAGCGGAUGAAGGGAGCUUGCUCCUGGAUUCAGCGGCGGACGGGUGAGUAAUGCCUAGGAAUCUGCCUGGUAGUGGGGGAUAACGUCCGGAAACGGGCGCUAAUACCGCAUACGUCCUGAGGGAGAAAGUGGGGGAUCUUCGGACCUCACGCUAUCAGAUGAGCCUAGGUCGGAUUAGCUAGUUGGUGGGGUAAAGGCCUACCAAGGCGACGAUCCGUAACUGGUCUGAGAGGAUGAUCAGUCAAACGGGAACUGAGAAAGGGUCCAGACCCCUAGGGGGGGCAGAGGGGGGGAAUUUUGGAAAGUGGGCGAAAGCCGGACCCAGCCAUGCCGGGGGGGUGAAGAAGGUUUUCGGUUUGAAAAGCCCUUUAAGUUGGGAGGAAGGGCAGUAAGUUAAUACCUUGCUGUUUGGACGUUCCCAACAAAAAAAGCCCCGGCUAACUUCGU